RNAcentral lists this ribosomal RNA (454 nucleotides) under uncultured Chryseobacterium sp. RNAcentral's name for it is "partial 16S ribosomal RNA". It matches the Rfam family "Bacterial small subunit ribosomal RNA", at positions 341 to 792 of the family's 1533-position model. Lineage: Bacteria; Pseudomonadati; Bacteroidota; Flavobacteriia; Flavobacteriales; Weeksellaceae. The record is from RNAcentral.
ACGGGAGGCAGCAGUGAGGAAUAUUGGACAAUGGAGGCAACUCUGAUCCAGCCAAACCGCGUGAAGGAAGACGGUCCUAUGGAUUGUAAACUUCUUUUGUAAGGGGAUAAACCUAGAUAUGUAUAUCUAGCUGAAGGUACCUUACGAAUAAGCAUCGGCUAACUCCGUGCCAGCAGCCGCGGUAAUACGGAGGAUGCAGGCGUUAUCCGGAUUUAUUAGGUUUAAAGGGUGCGCAGGCGGGACAUUAAGUCGGCGGUGAAAUACCGUGGCCCAACCACGGGGCUGCCGUCGAUACUGAUGACCUAGAGUGCGUGUGACGUAGGCGGAAUGUGACGUGUAGCGGUGAAAUGCUUAGAUAUGUCACAGAACACCGAUUGCGAAGGCAGCCUACGAAUGCGUAACUGACGCUCAUGCACGAAAGCGCGGGUAGCGAACAGGAUUAGAUACCCUGGUA